RNAcentral lists this ribosomal RNA (503 nucleotides) under uncultured bacterium. RNAcentral describes it as "partial 16S ribosomal RNA". It matches the Rfam family "Bacterial small subunit ribosomal RNA", at positions 30 to 523 of the family's 1533-position model. The record is from RNAcentral.
AUUGAACGCUGGCGGCAGGCUUAACACAUGCAAGUCGAGCGGGGUGAUGGUGCUUGCACUAUCACUUAGCGGCGGACGGGUGAGUAAUGCUUAGGAAUCUGCCUAUUAGUGGGGGACGACAUCUCGAAAGGGAUGCUAAUACCGCAUACGUCCUACGGGAGAAAGCAGGGGAUCACUUGUGACCUUGCGCUAAUAGAGGAGCCUAAGUCGGAUUAGCUAGUUGGUGGGGUAAAGGCCUACCAAGGCGACGAUCUGUAGCGGGUCUGAGAGGAUGAUCCGCCACACUGGGACUGAGACACGGCCCAGACUCCUACGGGAGGCAGCAGUGGGGAAUAUUGGACAAUGGGGGGAACCCUGAUCCAGCCAUGCCGCGUGUGUGAAGAAGGCCUUAUGGUUGUAAAGCACUUUAAGCGAGGAGGAGGCUCUUUUGGUUAAUACCCAGAAUGAGUGGACGUUACUCGCAGAAUAAGCACCGGCUAACUCUGUGCCAGCCGCCGCCGUAA